AGAGUUUGAUCAUGGCUCAGAACGAACGCUGGCGGCAGGCUUAACACAUGCAAGUCGAACGCAUCCUUCGGGGUGAGUGGCAGACGGGUGAGUAACGCGUGGGAACGUGCCCUUCAGUUCGGGAUAACCCAGGGAAACUUGGGCUAAUACCGGAUACGUGCGAGAGCAGAAAGAUUUAUCGCUGAAGGAUCGGCCCGCGUCUGAUUAGCUAGUUGGUGGGGUAAUGGCCCACCAAGGCGACGAUCAGUAGCUGGUCUGAGAGGAUGAUCAGCCACAUUGGGACUGAGACACGGCCCAAACUCCUACGGGAGGCAGCAGUGGGGAAUAUUGGACAAUGGGCGCAAGCCUGAUCCAGCCAUGCCGCGUGAGUGAUGAAGGCCUUAGGGUUGUAAAGCUCUUUCGUCCGGGACGAUAAUGACGGUACCGGAAGAAGAAGCCCCGGCUAACUUCGUGCCAGCAGCCGCGGUAAUACGAAGGGGGCUAGCGUUGUUCGGAAUCACUGGGCGUAAAGGGCGCGUAGGCGGCUUUGUAAGUCGGGGGUGAAAGCCUGUGGCUCAACCACAGAAUUGCCUUCGAUACUGCAUGGCUUGAGACCGGAAGAGGUAAGUGGAACUGCGAGUGUAGAGGUGAAAUUCGUAGAUAUUCGCAAGAACACCAGUGGCGAAGGCGGCUUACUGGUCCGGUUCUGACGCUGAGGCGCGAAAGCGUGGGGAGCAAACAGGAUUAGAUACCCUAGUAGUCC
Molecule: ribosomal RNA, 742 nt
Filed under: uncultured bacterium
Lineage: Bacteria
Description: bacterial SSU rRNA
Rfam family: Bacterial small subunit ribosomal RNA
Source: RNAcentral